AGUCGUAACAAGGUUUCCGUAGGUGAACCUGCGCAUUAACACGUAUCCAACGUUAAACAACCUGUGAACCUUAUACCUGAUCUCCUUGAAGGCAAUCCCUGGUAACUCACGCGAACAGUUUGAUUCAGGGACUUCCGUCUUGGAUUCGAUGCGGAGACCAACUGUUAGACUUGGCGUCUGCUUGCAGAUCGGAUCGCUGGUCACCACGGCCAUGCGGACAAGUCUCUAGGGGAUGCGGAAACACUCCUCAAAAAAAAUCGAACAAAUAUCUUGAUUCUC
RNAcentral lists this unclassified non-coding RNA (279 nucleotides) under fungal sp. RNAcentral describes it as "partial internal transcribed spacer region". The record is from RNAcentral. Lineage: Eukaryota; Fungi.